Gossypium arboreum is the source of this 699-nucleotide long non-coding RNA. RefSeq lists it as uncharacterized. The transcript is spliced from 2 exons. The record is from RefSeq and is a predicted model, not a curated record. Lineage: Eukaryota; Viridiplantae; Streptophyta; Magnoliopsida; Malvales; Malvaceae.
UCUUCAGUCAUCUUCCAUUACCGAAAUUGAAUAACAAAAUACACCAUUCUUAGGGUUUUCAUUCGGCCAAGCUCUCUACUUCAAUUAUCAAGAAAAGUAGAAUUCGGAUCUAGAUCGGGGGAAAACUAAAGUUAUCGACUAAUCGACUCAUUUCGUCGUUUACACAUCCGAGGUAAGUUCGUAUGUGAUAAAUUUUAAUACAAAUGUAUUUCAUAUGCUUUGAUAUUGCAUAAAUUGCAAAUACGAGACUGUGGAUACGAACGAUAGUGAUUCGACGACGAUUCGACAUUCGAAAUCCUGGUUGAACCUUAAGAAUAGUUUAGAAUGCUAGUGACUUGACAUUAGGAGAUACAUUGAGUUGGCUUCGGGCCAUGAUAUUAGCACUUUGGGUGUGAGAUAAACCGAUUUGACUUCGGGCCAUGCAUAUCGGUUGAUUUGGCUUCGACCAUGAUAUUAGUAUUUCAAAUAAGUUACUUUGAUUUGGCUUCGAGCCAUCGUAUAGGUACUUAUCGUGUGAGAUCCUUAAAUAUCUGAUUCCUAUUCUGAAUGGUUCAACGGAAAAUUGUAAGACGAGAAUGUGUAUGAGACUUGUACGGGAUGGUAUAGGUAUGUGUAUAAACUAUUUUAGCAUCAAAUUGAAGAAAUGAUGGUGAAAUUAUAUAAUUUUGUGAAUGAGUAUAUGAAAGGUUUGUUAGUUAA